Molecule: small RNA, 28 nt
Filed under: Bombyx mori (domestic silkworm)
Lineage: Eukaryota; Metazoa; Arthropoda; Insecta; Lepidoptera; Bombycidae
Description: ovarian small RNA-28025
Source: RNAcentral
UCCUUCAUUUGGCUGUGACGUGGUAGCU